GACUGAACUGUCCUUUUUCGGUUAUCAUGGUACCGAUGCUGUAUGUCUGAAAGGUACAGUACUGUGAUAACUGAAGAAUGGUGGUGCCAUC
Molecule: microRNA precursor, 91 nt
Filed under: Dasypus novemcinctus (nine-banded armadillo)
Lineage: Eukaryota; Metazoa; Chordata; Mammalia; Cingulata; Dasypodidae
Description: microRNA 101-2 (ENSDNOG00000026172.1)
Rfam family: mir-101 microRNA precursor family (bases 9-83)
About the family: The hairpin precursors (represented here) are predicted based on base pairing and cross-species conservation -- their extents are not known. In this case the mature sequence is excised from the 3' arm of the hairpin. This family also contains a predicted homologue of mir-101 from Tetraodon fluviatilis.
Source: RNAcentral